RNAcentral lists this long non-coding RNA (265 nucleotides) under Lathyrus oleraceus (garden pea). Its description in RNAcentral is "Pisum sativum (pea) long non-coding RNA (PSAT_LNC031031)". The record is from RNAcentral. Lineage: Eukaryota; Viridiplantae; Streptophyta; Magnoliopsida; Fabales; Fabaceae.
GUGAAUGGCCAGAGAUUGAAGCCUUACAAUGUGGGGCAAGCAGUGGGCCAAAUUGAUGUUGUUCAUCUUGUCUGAAAAAAUGCGCAACCGUCGAGCCAAGCGACGUUAAACGAAGCGCUACAUGGGAGGCAACCCACGCUUUUGUAUCUAAUUAUUCUCUUUGUUUGGUUAUGUAUUAUUUACUUGCAGGUGUCAACAGUGUUUGCUAGAGGAGUUAAAGAUAGCGGUAGCAAAAACUCUCUAAAAAUUCGGAAGCAGAAGUCGG